This 77-nucleotide transfer RNA is filed under the name Bifidobacterium sp. UTCIF-39. RNAcentral's name for it is "tRNA-Asp". It matches the Rfam family "tRNA". Rfam says of the family: Transfer RNA (tRNA) molecules are approximately 80 nucleotides in length. RNAcentral also lists the same sequence under 3 other names. Lineage: Bacteria; Bacillati; Actinomycetota; Actinomycetes; Bifidobacteriales; Bifidobacteriaceae. The record is from RNAcentral.
GGCUCCGUAGCUCAGUUGGUUAGAGCGCCGCCCUGUCACGGCGGAGGUCGCCGGUUCAAGUCCGGUCGGAGUCGCGA